CCAGACUCCUACGGGAGGCAGCAGUGGGGAAUAUUGCACAAUGGGGGAAACCCUGAUGCAGCGACGCCGCGUGAGCGAUGAAGUAUUUCGGUAUGUAAAGCUCUAUCAGCAGGGAAGAAAAUGACGGUACCUGACUAAGAAGCCCCGGCUGACUACGUGCCAGCAGCCGCGGUAAUACGUAGGGGGCAAGCGUUAUCCGGAUUUACUGGGUGUAAAGGGAGCGUAGACGGCAUGGCAAGUCUGAUGUGAAAACCCGGGGCUCAACCCCGGGACUGCAUUGGAAACUGUCAGGCUGGAGUGUCGGAGAGGCAAGUGGAAUUCCUAGUGUAGCGGUGAAAUGCGUAGAUAUUAGGAGGAACACCAGUGGCGAAGGCGGCUUGCUGGACGAUGACUGACGUUGAGGCUCGAAAGCGUGGGGAGCAAACAGGAUUAGAUACCCCGGUA
This 444-nucleotide ribosomal RNA is filed under the name uncultured bacterium. Its description in RNAcentral is "bacterial SSU rRNA". It matches the Rfam family "Bacterial small subunit ribosomal RNA", at positions 331 to 792 of the family's 1533-position model. The record is from RNAcentral.